GUUCGCGGUCGGCGAGCGCUGGGCACUGGCUCACGCCCCGGAGGCAGCCCCGUUCCAAAACGAAAGCAAUCACGUUUCACCCGGUUCAAACUCUUCGGGCCAGAUAAGCGAACCCCCUCCGUGAUUGCAGUCUCAGACUAAUUUGCCUAUGUAGCGGACGAGACAUUAGCCGAAUAAUUUAGUUUUAAUCGUCAUGCUACCGGACUAAGACUCCACCAGGUAAAUGCCACCCUGGCCCAAUCAGGGGCUCUUUCAAAACCGUUAAAAAAACAUGAUCAUUGUUAUUGGACAAAAUCAGAUAGUCCCGCCUCCAUUUAAAACUCCUUAUGCCGUUUUGUGCCUUCUGACCAACGUGAACGUGUGUUGGUCACGUGGUCGUGGGGUGGGGUCAACAGGUAGGUGAGUUGCAUGAGUUUUUCCGUUGAUAAAGUGCAACAUUGCUCUUGCUGGCUGUAACUACUGCCGUGCGCUCUCAAGACAACAUGGAUUUCGAUUUGGCUUCAGCUGUAGGUAAAGAUGAUCAGGUGAAAAAGGAUGAUGCCUCUGGCCAGGAACAGAACGCCCUAUUUGGAUGGGGGAAGAAGAAGGACAAAGAUGGGGAUAAGUGUGUGUCCAAGGACAAAUCAAAGGACCAUGACAAAUCGAAGGACUGUAAGCACCAUGACAAAUCAAAGGACCAUAAGGAGGACAAAGACAAGUCUAAGGAACAUAAAGACAAGAAACAUGGUGACAAGAAGGACAAAGACAAGUCUAAGGAACAUAAAGACAAGAAACAUGGUGACAAGAAGGACAAAGGUCAUAAGAAGAAGAAAGACAAGAAGCCAAAGGAGCAUAAGGACAAAGAUGAUGGGUCAUCAUCUUCCUCGUCCAGCAGCGAUGAGGAUGAAGGCAAGAAGAAGCAUCACUGAUUCUGGUGCUGUGAGGAAGUGCUACUGCCGGUGAACUCUUACAAUGUUUUGUACUGCAAUGUUGCAUGCAUGAUAUUUACUGUGUACUGUUUCCUUGUUGCUCCUGAUCAUGUUUUGAUGUGCCAGACUGUAAAGUAGUGGUUUUACAACCGAAUAUUAAAUAACCCAACAACCAGGAUAUAUGGUGAAUGUCAGACUUCUUUCCUCCCUAGUAAAAAGUCUAAUGUCCACCAGAAGGGGGAGGUGUUCUUCAUUGAAUGUUUAUUUAAUAGAUUGAAUUCAAUUGCUUUCAAGUUUUUUUUGUUAAAUUGUCCAGUUCAAAAGAUUGAAUUGCAUUCUGUUUUGUUUAUUUUAGCACAACUUAUGGGAAAGCUCAAUGUUCUUAGUUUGAAAUAAAAAGCAUAAGGGUGCAUAUACCCAAAGGUUUUCUCAACAGGGGAUAGAUAGUGUUGGGAGUGGGACGUAGGUACCGUGCAUGUUACUUCAGUACGUUCGUAUUGUACUCCAUCUAUGCAGAGUUUAGAUGGCAGUCCAUUCCUUGUCUAACCUGAGUUGACUUAGUGAGCAGGUGCACUGGCCUUGAGUAAAUUCAUUCUACAAAAACUAACUAGGAAAAGCAAAGCUGUACAUGACUGGGGUACACAAAAUGCGUGACAUGGAAAUGGGAAAUGGGAAAUGUUUCCGUAACACUGGCAUCAAUAUUGAAGUGGACCUGAACUCUAACAUGGGUUGUCAGGAAAGAGGAAUUAAAACAUUUAACAUACGGAAAAGGUUCAAAUACUUAAUCUUUUAUACCGGGCGGAAAAAGAAAAUGGAGCGAUUGCAAAAUGUAUCAAUAAAUAAAUAGUGUGUGGAUGCUGCUAUUGCAACUCCUAUCACACUAGGCUGUAUCACUGUUGGGAUGCAUAGGAGGGGAAAUGAACAGAUAUACAGCCUGUCUUUCUAGUGAACUUGUCAGCAGAACUAGACGGUCACUUUUCAUUUAUGUUUUCAUGGUUUAUGAAAUGAAAAACAAAUGGUAUGCUCAUAUGGUGUAUUGGCUACUAAACUCAGCAAAAAAAGAAACGUCAACUGCGUUUAUUUUCAGCAAACUUAACAUGUGUAAAUAUUGGUAUGAACAUAAGAUUCAACAACUGAGACAUAAACUGAACAAGUUCCACAGACAUGUGACUAACAGAAAUUGAAUAAUGUGUCCCUGAACAAAAGGGGGGGUCAAAAUCUAAAGUAACAGUCAGUAUCUCGUGUGGGCACCAGAUGCAUUAAGUACUGCAGUGCAUAUCCUCCUCAUGGACUGCACCAGAUUUGCCAGUUAUUGCUGUGAGAUGUUACCCCACUCUUCCACCAAGGCACCUGCAAGUUCAGACAUUUCUGGGGGGAAUGGCCCUAGCCCUCACCCUCCGAUCCAACAGGUCCCAGACGUGGUCAAUGGGAUUGAGAUCCGG
Molecule: long non-coding RNA, 2350 nt
Filed under: Salmo salar (Atlantic salmon)
Lineage: Eukaryota; Metazoa; Chordata; Actinopteri; Salmoniformes; Salmonidae
Description: lncRNA (ENSSSAG00000081928.1)
Source: RNAcentral